UAUGGUGGUUAUACCGAGGGUGUUCACCUCUUCCCAUUCCGAACAGAGAAGUUAAGUCCCUCAUGGCCAAUGGUACUUGGGCCUUGUCCCUGGGAGAGUAGGUAGCUGCCGUAU
RNAcentral lists this ribosomal RNA (114 nucleotides) under Hydrotalea flava. RNAcentral also lists the same sequence under 3 other names. Lineage: Bacteria; Pseudomonadati; Bacteroidota; Chitinophagia; Chitinophagales; Chitinophagaceae. The record is from RNAcentral.